GAUGAACGCUGACAGAAUGCUUAACACAUGCAAGUCAACUUGAAUUUGGGUUUUUAACUUAGAUUUGGGUGGCGGACGGGUGAGUAACGCGUAAAGAACUUGCCUCACAGCUAGGGACAACAUUUAGAAAUGAAUGCUAAUACCUGAUAUUAUGAUUUUAAGGCAUCUUAGAAUUAUGAAAGCUAUAAGCACUGUGAGAGAGCUUUGCGUCCCAUUAGCUAGUUGGAGAGGUAACAGCUCACCAAGGCGAUGAUGGGUAGCCGGCCUGAGAGGGUGAACGGCCACAAGGGGACUGAGACACGGCCCUUACUCCUACGGGAGGCAGCAGUGGGGAAUAUUGGACAAUGGACCGAGAGUCUGAUCCAGCAAUUCUGUGUGCACGAUGAAGUUUUUCGGAAUGUAAAGUGCUUUCAGUUGGGAAGAAAUAAAUGACAGUACCAACAGAAGAAGUGACGGCUAAAUACGUGCCAGCAGCCGCGGUAAUACGUAUGUCACGAGCGUUAUCCGGAUUUAUUGGGCGUAAAGCGCGUCUAGGUGGUUAUGUAAGUCUGAUGUGAAAAUGCAGGGCUCAACUCUGUAUUGCGUUGGAAACUGUAUAACUAGAGUACUGGAGAGGUAAGCGGAACUACAAGUGUAGAGGUGAAAUUCGUAGAUAUUUGUAGGAAUGCCGAUGGGGAAGCCAGCUUACUGGACAGAUACUGACGCUAAAGCGCGAAAGCGUGGGUAGCAAACAGG
RNAcentral lists this ribosomal RNA (735 nucleotides) under uncultured Fusobacterium sp. Its description in RNAcentral is "bacterial SSU rRNA". It matches the Rfam family "Bacterial small subunit ribosomal RNA", at positions 28 to 776 of the family's 1533-position model. Lineage: Bacteria; Fusobacteriati; Fusobacteriota; Fusobacteriia; Fusobacteriales; Fusobacteriaceae. The record is from RNAcentral.